GUCCAUAUGCAGACCUUUACCACCCAUACCAAGACUCUGCUCAGCUUGCCCACAUGGCCAGAAAGCAUGUCGAGAUCAUCUAAAGGACGUGCUUUUGUCUAUUCUGCCAACAAACCGUCAGUUGAUACAAGCCAACAGCCUCGUAAGCGUAAGAGGUCACCUGGAUCUGCUGCCACAUGUACAGAUAAAACUGCUGGAGGAUCCAUUGCCAAGGGGCCCAACUCUGGGUCUCGUGGGUUGGCAUCGAAAGUGCAAAAAGUAUCGAUAGCCGAAUUUGAUGAUGAUGAUUUUGAUGAAGUUGGAGCAGCUGCCUUAGAUGAGUACGAACAGAGUCAGCGAAGUGUACCCCCGACAGAUACUCUUGAUACACCUACACACAGUACGAAUACAGGUAUCACUGUUCCCACCACCACCAAACAAUGUUAUUCUUAUCGGAGAGACCCGUCCACCAAUCCCUCAGCUCAAUCAGACCCUAUCCAACAAGCCAUGGACGAAUUGCGUGAGGACAACUUUACUAAGGAUGGGGAGGUGAAGGUAUUGAGGAGUGAGAAGGAUAGGCUGCUCAGUGAAUUGAGGAAACGUGAGGAGCAAAUGCGGGAGAUCCAAUCCAGGCUCACCAUUGAGAAAAAUAUUGUGCAAACACAACUGUCCAAGGAAAAAGAUUCUCUAACAGCCAAACUACAAUUUCAGGAACAGGAAAUAGUAAGCCUUCGUGAAAAAUACCUACUUUUGGAACAGCACAAAAAAUCACCAGGCACUAGCAAGCCAAUUCCUACAUCAAGACCGAUUAAGACUGCUAUAUCUAGCAAAACCUCUAGCACCACAUUCUUGUCAACAGAGAGUUUCAUGCCUCGUUCGCAGAUUAAUAGUGCUGAGGUCACUCCAGUUCAUGUCAAGCCCAAGAGAGCCAGAUCAGUAAGCCUUUCGGAUAAGAAACCAGAGGUGGUAAAGUCCAAGAAAGUUCGAGUUGCUCGCAGCCCAACCACAACGCCUUUGAACAGUCUCAGUGGAAAAACGGGAUCAAAAAACACGAAGAAUACUAGUCCCUGUAAUAAGCCCCCUGGAUCGGUCAGUGUCGACCCUUCAAUGAUCUUAAGUGUCCAGGGUAGGGAGUUGGAUGACCCUCAACUACUCAUGCUUCUAGUCAGACGUGAUCUUCUGAAGCCUCCUGUUUUUCUGAGCACUAAUGAACAAGAAGAAGCUGAACCCUCCCCAGUGGUCGUGUCAGAUAAAGACAGUCAGUCAUCUGAUGAAGAAUCCUCUCAGUCUGGCUCUGAAGACAGUCAAAACAGUAUCACUGGAUUACUCUCUCUCCUACGAGUACAGCCAAAGCCCAAAACCUUCUCUGGAUAUUCCACCUCGUUUGUUACUCCUGUCAAGGCCCUGGACAGCUCUUUAUUGUCUACCUCUGAGUCUUCUCCAUCUGCCUGCACACCUGUUAGACAAAAGAGGAUGCAGCUCUUAAAGCCACACACAUUGGCUAGAAUGGAUUUGGCCAGGCCAAGAAUGGAAAAACCUGGAAGUUCUCUAUUGCAGUCUCUCUCUGCCAACAACACUCCUAUUAACUGUGCAUAUGAUGAAAGGACAAGCUCUCUGUUUUCCAGUAUUGACAAGAAAGGCCUGGAAGUAAGUAUUGGUGCCUUGCUUCAGUCUGCUGAUCUCUCCUCUAUUUCUAGAACUACUACUGCGUGUGCCACCUCUUUUUGUCCAAAUAAGCUCCACUCAAGAAUGCUGGAGAACUCUAAUCUGCACCUACUUAUUAGGAACGUCACAGCCACUGUUUUGCAGUACCACGCAGAUCAGUCUGCAAAGGCCAAGGGCACAGCCAAUACAAGCAUCUUGGAUGGUGGCGACACUACAGACUCGAGUAUGAGCCUCGGCUCUCACAAAUCUAUUUCAAGCACUGGAUCGAGUAAAGCAAGCUCUGAGCUAUUCUCCCCUUUGAAAUGUGAUCAGCAGCUCGUUUCAAAGUUUCUUGAAAUCCUGUACACCCUUGUGAGCUACUAUCAGUGUGUGAGAGAGCAGAUUUUGUACCAACCAUCUAAGCUGAUUUUCGAUAGUCGACCGAGAUCGUCCAUAAACGUACAAGCCCCUUCAAGCACGGGAUCUUUUCUGGACAGGGAGGGAGUUGUUAGCACGAUAUUGAAACCUGCUCCUCCAGAUCUUGCUGAGGUAUCCAGGAGACUGUCCUUCAAGAGGGAUCGAUCAUGCACUCCUGACAGCCCCACAAAAGCAGAGAAUGACUAUCAAUCACAGCCUGCGGAGGGCAAGCAGUGGAAGAAACAACAGCUGUGCAACAUCAAUCACCAUAGCUGCAAUCUCUCCACUUGUGUCUGGACCCAGAAAAAGAUGACUCCUCAGAACUCCAAUGUGCUUGACCAGAGCUUCUCUUUGCCUGCCUCUCGGGUGAGGGUUAGUGAUGGAGGGGGACUGUUCAAUGUGCUGUUGGAGAUGCCAGCACCGCCAUGGCGUGAGUCAAAAAAGAACGUAGUCACAUGUUUGAAAAUCUUGAGUACUCUGGCUGAACACUGCUCCAUCGACGCUCUCCAACAGUUUUCCUCCCUGCUGGCCGAUGACGUUCUAGGCCCGUGUUUGGACAAAGAUGAUCCCGCCAUCGUCCGAGCCACUCUCUCCCUCCUUACCCACCUGGUCCGUUCCCCUGUUAUCGUAGGACUCCUCUGCAGCUGCUCCCCACCCUCUCCCUGUGUACCCGUCAACUGCUAUGACAUAUGUCUACAGACCAUGCCUGAUGAGGCUCAUAGGCAGUCGGGAUAUACUAACCAGCUCCAAGUGGUGCGACUGAUCUCUACAGCUCUGGUUGCUGACAAUGGAGUGGCUGUCCUCCUCACCUCCUCCUGUCAGUGCACUCGUGAGCUGCUCAAGACCUUUGUGUCUUUACUGAGCAACCUUUUGGACAAUGUCCAGGAUACCAGUCAGUGGACUCGGCAAGAACUGACUGUGGUACUGGAGGUGAUAUCUCUGCUACACAAGAUCAGUAUCCACGAUAAUUACUUUGACAGCCACCUGUACGAGUGUGAUCACACUUACAACUCAGUUAUGUCCUCUCUCCAUUGGUUGCUAGCCACCCACCCCACACCACUCAGAGAAGUUGCCAUGGUGACUGAUCUGCUGGAGUGUGCUGAAGAUUUGGAUGAUAGUGAAGAGAUAGACAAAAUGGACAUCCAAACUGACUGAAUGGAUGCUCUUACAUUAUAUUGUUUGAUGUACUCUGGGACCAUCCGCAGAAGACAAGCAGUAGAACUGUGCAACAUCAAUAACUGUAUACAGCUGCAAUCUCUCUACUUGUGUUUGUACCCAGAAAGAGCUAGGUUCCCCCCUGCUGGAGGAACGUUCUAGGUCUGUGUUUGGACAAAGAUGAUCCCACUGUUGUCCAUGCCACUUUCUUCCUCACCUGGUCUGCUCCCCUGUCGUCGUGGGACUCGUCUGCAUGCUCCCCGAUUACGCUCACAGGCAGUCAGGAUACAUGCACUAACCAGCUGCAAACUAAUCGAAAUACUAUACUGGCAAUUACACGUGUUUAUCAAUGCUCGAUGAGUUUUGCUAACCACUGCAUAUAAUCAUUUUAAUAAAGAAGCUUGCAGUCAUAAAAACACUAUGUACGUGUUUUUGUUAUUAUCAGUGCAUAAUAAGUACGUUUAUAUUUUAUUCAGGUGGUGUGACUGAUCGAUCUCUACAGCUCUGGUUGCUGACAAUUAAAUGGAGUGGCUGUCUUCAUCACCCCCUCCUGUCAGUGCACUCAUGAGUGUGGACAAGCUUUACAGCUUCCAGAUGAAUUGGAGCUCCUCCAUCUCGUGUUGCACUUAUUGCACUUGUACUUGGCCACCAUCUUCAUCUGCAAGCAACAGUUAUACUAGAAGUGAAGUCACUGUGUAUUAU
Halichondria panicea is the source of this 3897-nucleotide RNA transcript. RefSeq lists it as uncharacterized. Lineage: Eukaryota; Metazoa; Porifera; Demospongiae; Suberitida; Halichondriidae. The transcript is spliced from 13 exons. The record is from RefSeq and is a predicted model, not a curated record.